This 301-nucleotide ribosomal RNA is filed under the name uncultured bacterium. Its description in RNAcentral is "partial 16S ribosomal RNA". It matches the Rfam family "Bacterial small subunit ribosomal RNA", at positions 509 to 807 of the family's 1533-position model. The record is from RNAcentral.
CAGCAGCCACGGGAAUACGAAGGGUGCAAGCGUUAAUCGGAAUUACUGGGCGUAAAGCGCGCGUAGGUGGUUUGGUAAGAUGGAUGUGAAAUCCCCGGGCUCAACCUGGGAACUGCAUCCAUAACUGCCUGACUAGAGUACGGUAGAGGGUGGUGGAAUUUCCUGUGUAGCGGUGAAAUGCGUAGAUAUAGGAAGGAACACCAGUGGCGAAGGCGACCACCUGGACUGAUACUGACACUGAGGUGCGAAAGCGUGGGGAGCAAACAGGAUUAGAUACCCCCGUAGUCCCUGUCUCUUAUAC